GCCAGACUCCUACGGGAGGCAGCAGUGGGGGAUAUUGCACAAUGGGGGAAACCCUGAUGCAGCGACGCCGCGUGGGCGAAGAAGUAUUUCGGUAUGUAAAGCCCUAUCAGCAGGGAAGAAGAAAUGACGGUACCUGAGUAAGAAGCACCGGCUAAAUACGUGCCAGCAGCCGCGGUAAUACGUAUGGUGCAAGCGUUAUCCGGAUUUACUGGGUGUAAAGGGAGCGUAGACGGCCAUGCAAGCCAGGGGUGAAAGCCCGGGGCCCAACCCCGGGACUGCCCUUGGAACUGCAUGGCUGGAGUGCGGGAGGGGCAGGCGGAAUUCCUGGUGUAGCGGUGAAAUGCGUAGAUAUCAGGAGGAACACCGGCGGCGAAGGCGGCCUGCUGGACCGCGACUGACGUUGAGGCUCGAAAGCGUGGGGAGCGAACAGGAUUAGAUACCCUGGUAGUC
This 450-nucleotide ribosomal RNA is filed under the name uncultured bacterium. Its description in RNAcentral is "bacterial SSU rRNA". It matches the Rfam family "Bacterial small subunit ribosomal RNA", at positions 330 to 795 of the family's 1533-position model. The record is from RNAcentral.